GUAACAAUGGCACCUGUGGAAAAAGUUUGCUCUGUCAGCAACAGCUGAGAACUACAAGCAACACCUUUCAACAAAACACUCACGAGAAUUCUUUGACUUCCUAGGAAUCCUAAUAGCUCACAAGGUUUUCCUUCAUUACUGCAACUUGAGGACCAGUUUCCCAGGCCCAUCCUCAAUUGUACCACUUCAUGAAAUCUGAGACCACGUGUAACAAGGUGACUGUGGAUACUUGGGAUGGUUCAGUUUGGAGCAACUGGAAGAUAACUAUUUAAAACAUAAUAAAAACUAUUUUAAUACUGA
This is a long non-coding RNA of Parus major (Great Tit), 300 nucleotides long. RefSeq lists it as uncharacterized. The transcript is spliced from 3 exons. The record is from RefSeq and is a predicted model, not a curated record. Lineage: Eukaryota; Metazoa; Chordata; Aves; Passeriformes; Paridae.